Molecule: ribosomal RNA, 254 nt
Filed under: uncultured bacterium
Lineage: Bacteria
Description: partial 16S ribosomal RNA
Rfam family: Bacterial small subunit ribosomal RNA
Source: RNAcentral
UACAGAGGUGGCAAGCGUUGCUCGGAAUUACUGGGCGUAAAGGGCGCGUAGGCGGCCUUCUAAGUCAGACGUGAAAUCCCCAGGCUUAACUUGGGAACUGCGUCUGAUACUGGGAGGCUUGAGUGCGGGAGAGGGAUGUGGAAUUCCAGGUGUAGCGGUGAAAUGCGUAGAUAUCUGGAGGAACACCGGUGGCGAAGGCGGCAUCCUGGACCGACACUGACGCUGAGGCGCGAAAGCUAGGGGAGCAAACGGGG